UCUGUCUUGAUAGAGAAAGUACUAAGAGAGUUUUUUUUACCUUCUUUCAUCUUCUUCUUGUUUCUUGCUCUGCAGACUGCACCUAUCAUCACCUUGUUGGUCCAGUUUUAGUUCAUUUUCAGGGAAGGAAGAAUAGAGAAAUGAAAUGGGGAAAGAUUGAUCUGCCUGGCUCCCUGGAUGCCAACUAAGAAACUUUGUCAAUGGAAAUUGACACUUUCUAGUUGGCAUCAGAGGAGUCAAGCAGGUCUUCUUACUCUUCCUUACAUGCUCAUCAAAGCAGCAGAAAUCAACUGUAACAAGGGACAUCAAGAAACUUUUACCAGAGAUCAAAGGAAGUUGUGAGUAAAAAU
Jatropha curcas is the source of this 350-nucleotide non-coding RNA. NCBI's taxonomy places the organism in Eukaryota, Viridiplantae, Streptophyta, Magnoliopsida, Malpighiales, Euphorbiaceae. The record is from RefSeq and is a predicted model, not a curated record.